RNAcentral lists this long non-coding RNA (222 nucleotides) under Prunus persica (peach). Its description in RNAcentral is "long non-coding RNA (PPER_LNC008616)". Lineage: Eukaryota; Viridiplantae; Streptophyta; Magnoliopsida; Rosales; Rosaceae. The record is from RNAcentral.
GCAAAGAUAUUUUCGUCGGGGCAAACCUAAUCCGGCAAAUUUUGUCGGCAUAGAUCUUUGCCGACGAACUUUCGUCGGGAGAAGUGUUCAUGUGUUUUUUUUUUUUUUUUUGAAAAGUAUAAAGUUUAAAAAUAUGGAUAUGUUUAAACUAGCAAAUUAAUAUCUAUAAAGUACAGGCUAAUGCAACUUGGAGGGCCCUUCUUUCUUUUAUUUAUUUAUUAA